UAGGCUUUAGUCUAAACAAGACAGUUGAUUUCGACUCAGCAGAUUUGGGACUACCCCCAAAUGCCUAC
RNAcentral lists this transfer RNA (68 nucleotides) under Cophosaurus texanus. Its description in RNAcentral is "tRNA-Arg". The record is from RNAcentral. Lineage: Eukaryota; Metazoa; Chordata; Lepidosauria; Squamata; Phrynosomatidae.